This is a non-coding RNA of Python bivittatus (Burmese python), 945 nucleotides long. Lineage: Eukaryota; Metazoa; Chordata; Lepidosauria; Squamata; Pythonidae. The record is from RefSeq and is a predicted model, not a curated record.
GCCGAAUUGAAUUCUUACUUGGAGCCUUGUUGAACUUCCAAAACUGGGUACCGGAAAACUUCAGUGCAAGACUGCAUGGAACAAUAAGUAUCAGGGCAGUUGCUUGCUUUGGACCGACUGGACGUGGACGUAUUUUUUGCAGCUUCACAGUGACAUCGUCAGGCCAAACGUCCGCGAUGCAAAAAGGAGGGAAAGAGGCAUGCAGAAAUCCGGCUGCUUCUAGGGCACUUUCAGAGUCACACAGCUCUGCGGGGAGCUGCCAAACUGCCCUUUGUGAGUUGCUAAAGAAGUUAGAAGAAGCUCCACCCACUGACUUUGGGCUCGUAUGAAGCACAGAGGCAAAACAAACAGAAGGUCACGUGAUACCUUUGAAGUGAUAAAGCAGGUGAAUUACACAGGACUUCUAUCCUGCCUGGGAAAUCUAGAAACAACCUGCAUUCCCAUGCUACAGUUGGUAAUGCAAGGAACAGUAUUUCAGUUGGUAAGCUGUGUUUGUGGGUAUGGAAGAGGGGCAAGCCUAACAAUGGAAACGUGUUCCCCAAAGAUGACCUUGUGAGGGGGAAGACUUGGAAUGUGGGUCUGUAGUUGCCAGUUUCUGCCCUUCUGCCUAUGGGAUAAGGGAUAUGUCUGACUAAUUUUUCCAUCACAACCCAUUUGUUAUGGGGGUGUACACUAGAUUCCUUGAAUAUUGUAAAGGAAGGGAAUGUACAGUAGGUGGCUGCAUAUUAAACAAGUUGCUUUUACAGUUCAUGGCUGUGAUCAGAUAUACAUGGUAUGUUGUGUUUUUGGCUUAGCAUGUUAUUAGAACCUAGAUCUAAUAGGUCUAAUGAUCUAAAGGGUCAAAUUUCAAACUUGACCCAAACUUGAAACCAUGAUCAGUUACUGAUUUAUCCACUUCAAUAUAUCUGCUGUUCUGAACUUUCUUUUACAAUUGAAAGUCAGAGG